Molecule: transfer RNA, 82 nt
Filed under: Deltaproteobacteria bacterium
Lineage: Bacteria; Pseudomonadati; Myxococcota; Myxococcia
Also listed under: 1 other name
Description: tRNA-Tyr
Rfam family: tRNA
About the family: Transfer RNA (tRNA) molecules are approximately 80 nucleotides in length.
Source: RNAcentral
GGAGGGAUUCCCGAGCGGUCAAAGGGACCAGACUGUAAAUCUGGCGCCUCAGGCUUCGAAGGUUCGAAUCCUUCUCCCUCCA